This 289-nucleotide ribosomal RNA is filed under the name Coleomegilla maculata. RNAcentral's name for it is "partial 12S ribosomal RNA". Lineage: Eukaryota; Metazoa; Arthropoda; Insecta; Coleoptera; Coccinellidae. The record is from RNAcentral.
UAAUAGUUAAGUUCUUUAAAGCUAAAUGAUUUGGGGGUGUUUUAAACUAUUCAGAGGAACCUGUUCUAUAAUCGAUAAUCCACGAUGGAAUUUACUUUAGUUAGAAACUUUUAUAUCAUCGUUAAAAAGUAUUUUAUAAGAAUUUAAUAUUUAAAAUUUUCAAUAAAUAAAUAAAUCAGAUCAAGGUGAAGUUUAUACUAAAGAAGAAAGGGGUUACAUUUAAAUUUUAUUAAUGAAUUUUAAAAUUGAAAAUUUUUAUGAAAUUGGAUUUGAAAGUAAUUAAUUAAAC